GAUGAACGCUGGCGGCGUGCCUAAUACAUGCAAGUCGAGCGAACAGACGAGGAGCUUGCUCCUCUGACGUUAGCGGCGGACGGGUGAGUAACACGUGGAUAACCUACCUAUAAGACUGGGAUAACUUCGGGAAACCGGAGCUAAUACCGGAUAAUAUAUUGAACCGCAUGGUUCAAUAGUGAAAGACGGUUUUGCUGUCACUUAUAGAUGGAUCCGCGCCGCAUUAGCUAGUUGGUAAGGUAACGGCUUACCAAGGCAACGAUGCGUAGCCGACCUGAGAGGGUGAUCGGCCACACUGGAGCUGAGACACGGUCCAGACUCCUACGGGAGGCAGCAGUAGGGAAUCUUCCGCAAUGGGCGAAAGCCUGACGGAGCAACGCCGCGUGAAUGAUGAAGGUCUUCGGAUCGUAAAACUCUGUUAUUAGGGAAGAACAAAUGUGUAAGUAACUAUGCACGUCUUGACGGUACCUAAUCAGAAAGCCACGGCUAACUACGUG
RNAcentral lists this ribosomal RNA (497 nucleotides) under uncultured bacterium. RNAcentral describes it as "partial 16S ribosomal RNA". It matches the Rfam family "Bacterial small subunit ribosomal RNA", at positions 28 to 507 of the family's 1533-position model. The record is from RNAcentral.